GUGGACGCCAGUCUGCAUGGAGCCGACCUUGAAAUACCACCCUUUAAUGUUUGAUGUUCUAACGUGGACCCGUAAUCCGGGUUGCGGACAGUGUCUGGUGGGUAGUUUGACUGGGGCGGUCUCCUCCUAAAGAGUAACGGAGGAGCACGAAGGUUGGCUAAUCCUGGUCGGACAUCAGGAGGUUAGUGCAAUGGCAUAAGCCAGCUUGACUGCGAGCGUGACGGCGCGAGCAGGUGCGAAAGCAGGUCAUAGUGAUCCGGUGGUUCUGAAUGGAAGGGCCAUCGCUCAACGGAUAAAAGGUACUCCGGGGAUAACAGGCUGAUACCGCCCAAGAGUUCAUAUCGACGGCGGUGUUUGGCACCUCGAUGUCGGCUCAUCACAUCCUGGGGCUGAAGUAGGUCCCAAGGGUAUGGCUGUUCGCCAUUUAAAGUGGUACGCGAGCUGGGUUUAGAACGUCGUGAGACAGUUCGGUCCCUAUCUGCCGUGGGCGCUGGAGAACUGAGGGGGGCUGCUCCUAGUACGAGAGGACCGGAGUGGACGCAUCACUGGUGUUCGGGUUGUCAUGCCAAUGGCACUGCCCGGUAGCUAAAUGCGGAAGAGAUAAGUGCUGAAAGCAUCUAAGCACGAAACUUGCCCCGAGAUGAGUUCUCCCUGAGACUUAGAGUCUCCUGAAG
RNAcentral lists this ribosomal RNA (674 nucleotides) under Salmonella enterica. RNAcentral describes it as "partial 23S ribosomal RNA". It matches the Rfam family "Bacterial large subunit ribosomal RNA", at positions 2164 to 2833 of the family's 2925-position model. The record is from RNAcentral. Lineage: Bacteria; Pseudomonadati; Pseudomonadota; Gammaproteobacteria; Enterobacterales; Enterobacteriaceae.